CACAAGCGGCGGAGCAUGCGGAUUUAAUUCGAUGCAACGCGAAGAACUUACCUGGGCUUGACAUCCCGAUCGUACUUUCUGGAAACAGUUAGGUCAGUUCGGCUGGGAUCGGUGACAGGUGCUGCAUGACUGUCGUCAGCUCGUGUCGUGAGAUGUUGGGUUAAGUCCCGCAACGAGCGCAACCCCCGCCGUUAGUUGCCAGCGGUUCGGCCGGGCACUCUAACGGGACUGCCCGCGAAAAGCGGGAGGAAGGAGGGGACGACGUCUGGUCAGCAUGGCCCUUACGGCCUGGGCGACACACGUGCUACAAUGCCCACUACAAAGCGAUGCCACCCGGCAACGGGGAGCUAAUCGCAAAAAGGUGGGCCCAGUUCGGAUUGGGGUCUGCAACCCGACCCCAUGAAGCCGGAAUCGCUAGUAAUCGCGGAUCAGCCAUGCCGCGGUGAAUACGUUCCCGGGCCUU
Molecule: ribosomal RNA, 463 nt
Filed under: uncultured Thermus sp.
Lineage: Bacteria; Thermotogati; Deinococcota; Deinococci; Thermales; Thermaceae
Description: bacterial SSU rRNA
Rfam family: Bacterial small subunit ribosomal RNA
Source: RNAcentral